This 407-nucleotide ribosomal RNA is filed under the name uncultured Propionibacteriaceae bacterium. RNAcentral describes it as "bacterial SSU rRNA". It matches the Rfam family "Bacterial small subunit ribosomal RNA", at positions 958 to 1392 of the family's 1533-position model. Lineage: Bacteria; Bacillati; Actinomycetota; Actinomycetes; Propionibacteriales; Propionibacteriaceae. The record is from RNAcentral.
AACGCGAAGAACCUUACCUGGGUUUGACAUAUACAGGAAACAUCUGGAGACAGGUGCCCCGCAAGGUCGGUAUACAGGUGGUGCAUGGCGUCGUCAGCUCGUGUCGUGAGAUGUUGGGUUAAGUCCCGCAACGAGCGCAACCCUCGUCCUAUGUUGCCAGCGGUUCGGGUGGGAACUCAUAGGAGACUGCCGGGGUCAACUCGGAGGAAGGUGGGGAUGAGGUCAAGUCAUCAUGCCCCUUAUGUCCAGGGCCUGAAAACAUGCUACAAUGGCUGGUACAAAGGGCUGCAAUACCGCAAGGUGGAGCGAAUCCCAUAAAGCCAGUGUCAGUUCGGAUUGGGGUCUGCAACUCGACCCCAUGAAGUCGGAGUCGCUAGUAAUCGCAGUUUUGGGUCUUGUACACACCG